Molecule: long non-coding RNA, 476 nt
Organism: Daktulosphaira vitifoliae (grape phylloxera)
Lineage: Eukaryota; Metazoa; Arthropoda; Insecta; Hemiptera; Phylloxeridae
Exons: 4
Source: RefSeq, a predicted model, not a curated record
GAAAUAUUCUAUGAAGAAUAAUAUAUAAAGCAGAAUAUUUUUUAACUUAUGAUUAGUGUAUUUCGCAACAUUAUUCAUAAAUAAUUCCAUCGUUUCCAACGAAAAAUUCAAAAUGAAAUACUUCAACAUCAUUUUUGUUAUGUGUUUUGUUAUGUGCAUCGUUUCCUUUUCGAUUGUCUCAGCUUCAUCUCUGCAUAAGAAUGAAAGUAAACCUUUGGUAAACGAAAGAAACAAUACCAAUGGUGACGGCAGUGCUAAUCUUGAUGAUGAUGAUCAAACUAAAGGUUCAGUACCAUUGAAUUCCGCCAGCCUUGAAUCAGUUCCACUUUAAACAUUUUCAAAAUAUAUGAAAAACAUUAAUUCAAUAAUAUUAUAAUAUUUUCAGCAAAAAAAUCAAUUUAUAUAAAUUUCUUAAUUAAAAUUGUUAUACAUUAUAUAAUGAUUUUAUUUCCAAAAUAAAAUUUCUCAUAUCAGUA